CAGGGUAUAGCUUAACACAAAGCCCCCUCGCUUACACCGAGAAAAUAUCUAACUGACCCAGAUUACCCUGA
RNAcentral lists this transfer RNA (71 nucleotides) under Occidozyga sp. SH0521. RNAcentral describes it as "tRNA-Val". The record is from RNAcentral. Lineage: Eukaryota; Metazoa; Chordata; Amphibia; Anura; Dicroglossidae.